RNAcentral lists this ribosomal RNA (524 nucleotides) under uncultured bacterium. RNAcentral's name for it is "partial 16S ribosomal RNA". It matches the Rfam family "Bacterial small subunit ribosomal RNA", at positions 28 to 523 of the family's 1533-position model. The record is from RNAcentral.
GACGAACGCUGGCGGCGUGCCUAAUACAUGCAAGUCGAACGAAGCUGUUUUAACUGGUGCUUGCACCGACUUAAACAACUGAGUGGCGAACGGGUGAGUAACACGUGGGUAACCUGCCCCAAAGCGGGGGAUAACAUUUGGAAACAGAUGCUAAUACCGCAUAACCACAGAAACCACAUGGUUUCUGUGUCAAAGAUGGUUUCGGCUAUCACUUUGGGAUGGACCCGCGGCGUAUUAGCUAGUUGGUAAGGUAAUGGCUUACCAAGGCAAUGAGACGUAGCAGAACUGGGAGGUUGAUCGGCCACAUUGGGACUGAGACACGGCCCAAACUCCUACGGGAGGCAGCAGUAGGGAAUCUUCCACAAUGGACGAAAGUCUGAUGGAGCAACGCCGCGUGAGUGAAGAAGGUUUUCGGAUCGUAAAACUCUGUUGUCAGAGAAGAACGUGUGCGAGAGUAACUGUUCGUGCAGUGACGGUAUCUGGCCAGAAAGCCACGGCUAACUACGUGCCAGCCGCCGCCGUAA